Molecule: ribosomal RNA, 497 nt
Filed under: uncultured bacterium
Lineage: Bacteria
Description: partial 16S ribosomal RNA
Rfam family: Bacterial small subunit ribosomal RNA
Source: RNAcentral
GACGAACGCUGGCGGCGUGCCUAAUACAUGCAAGUCGAGCGGACAGACGGGAGCUUGCUCCCUGAUGUUAGCGGCGGACGGGUGAGUAACACGUGGGUAACCUGCCUGUAAGACUGGGAUAACUCCGGGAAACCGGGGCUAAUACCGGAUGGUUGUCUGAACCGCAUGGUUCAGACAUAAAAUGUGGCUUCGGCUACCACUUACAGAUGGACCCGCGGCGCAUUAGCUAGUUGGUGAGGUAACGGCUCACCAAGGCAACGAUGCGUAGCCGACCUGAGAGGGUGAUCGGCCACACUGGGACUGAGACACGGCCCAGACUCCUACGGGAGGCAGCAGUAGGGAAUCUUCCGCAAUGGACGAAAGUCUGACGGAGCAACGCCGCGUGAGUGAUGAAGGUUUUCGGAUCGUAAAGCUCUGUUGUUAGGGAAGAACAAGUGCCGUUCAAAUAGGGCGGCACCUUGACGGUACCUAACCAGAAAGCCACGGCUAACUACGUG